RNAcentral lists this long non-coding RNA (693 nucleotides) under Gossypium barbadense (sea-island cotton). RNAcentral's name for it is "long non-coding RNA (GBAR_LNC021260)". Lineage: Eukaryota; Viridiplantae; Streptophyta; Magnoliopsida; Malvales; Malvaceae. The record is from RNAcentral.
UCACGCCCUCUAAUUUUCAAUAACUCCAGCCACUAAUAUCAAAAUAGAAGAGGCGGUAAUCCUCACUAUCAAACUUUUAAGUUCUGUUGACAUAUAAAAUCCAGUAAACAACUAAAAAUAAAACCAGAACUCAAGCUGAAAAUAUUGCAUCCACAAGCUUUAUUGAAAUUGAAGCACUUCACCACUAGAAAAUGAAAGUAAAUGAAUAAACUUAAAAGGUAUACUAAGAAACUUACCUCAUACAUGUACAAGUCAGACUUGCCUUCCAGAUCCUUAACCACCAGUAAACACAAAUCCAAUAUUUUGAUUCGAUGUCAUGUCGAUGGAUCAUUUUAAAAUAGAAAAUAAGUAAAGAUCUCCAACAAGAGUGUUAAAUACUGCCUUGUAUCUUCUUCUUUUUUCCCUUUUAACAAUUCUGCAUCAAAUUCAUCAUGCAUCACUUCUGUACAUCCAUGCUUUGUGUAGACUAUACAGCUAAAAUAACCACAAAAACAUAAGAAGAAAAUAAUAGAGACUAACCUCAAUCGCCAACACUCCAGCUUUUCAAUUCUAGUCUCUCCUUGAAGAAAACCCAAACUUUACACUAAAAAAUAAAAAAAUAAUAAUACAAAGAUUGACAACUCUUCCGACUUCGCCAAUGCUAAACCCUAAUCGGGAAACACCUGAUACUUCAAUGAUUCUUUUACUCGUAAG